UAUAAGUGUAGUCAUGAGUUUCCGUGUCCAACUUUAAUCGUUCGUCUUAUUUAAAUAUUUUUUGAAAAACCUAUAAGAAUAAGUUACGUAUAAAGUACUAUUCAUGUUUUAUAAUCUAAUAACAAUAAAAAUACUAAUCAUAAAAAAAUUUCAAAUAAAACGGACGAUCAAAGUUGGAUAUGGAAACUCAUGGUUGCGCUUAUU
This is a microRNA precursor of Oryza sativa Indica Group (long-grained rice), 204 nucleotides long. It matches the Rfam family "MIR812 microRNA precursor family". Lineage: Eukaryota; Viridiplantae; Streptophyta; Magnoliopsida; Poales; Poaceae. The record is from Rfam.